Long non-coding RNA from Austrofundulus limnaeus, 765 nucleotides. RefSeq lists it as uncharacterized. NCBI's taxonomy places the organism in Eukaryota, Metazoa, Chordata, Actinopteri, Cyprinodontiformes, Rivulidae. The record is from RefSeq and is a predicted model, not a curated record. The transcript is spliced from 3 exons.
AAUAAACCAGGUGAGGAUGAAUAAAGCAGGUGAGAGGAUGAAUAAACCAGGUGAGGAUGAAUAAAUCAGGUGAGGAUGAAUAAAUCAGGUGAGAGCAUGAAUAAACCAGGUGAGGAUGAAUAAACCAGGUGAGAGGAUGAAUAAACCAGGUGAGGAUGAAUAAACCAGGUGAGAGUAUGAAUAAACCAGGUGAGAGGAUGAAUAAAUCAGGUGAGAGCAUGAAUAAACCAGGUGAGGAUGAAUAAACCAGGUGAGGAUGAAUAAACCAGGCUAGGAUGAAUAAAUCAGGUGAGAGGAUGAAUAAACCAGGUGAGAGGAUGAAUAAACCAGGUGAGGAUGAAUAAAUCAGGUGAGAGGAUGAAUAAACCAGGUGAGGAUGAAUAAACCAGGUGAGGAUGAAUAAACCAGGUGAGGAUGAAUAAAUCAGGUGAGGAUGAAUAAACCAGGUGAGGAUGAAUAAACCAGGUGAGAGGAUGAAUAAACCAGGUGAGGAUGAAUAAAGCAGGUGAGGAUGAAUAAAUCAGGUGAGGAUGAAUAAACCAGGUGAGAGGAUGAAUAAACCAGGUGAGGAUGAAUAAACCAGGUGAGGAUGAAUAAAUCAGAUGAGGAUGAAUAAACCAGUUGAGAGGAUGAAUAAACCAGGUGAGGAUGAAUAAAUCAGGUGAGGAUGAAUAAACCAGGUGAGGAUGAAUAAACCAGGUGAGGAUGAAUAAACCAGGUGAGGAUGAAUAAACCAGGUGAGGAUGAAUAAACCAGGUGAGGAUG